GAGAGGAGGAUGCUGCAGCGGCGCUUACUACCAAUCAAAUAGCGCUGCUGCGGCUCCAAUCCCUCUCCCUCCUCCUUCUUCUCAACUGCCUGCACACGCCACACUGCACAGAGAGGGAGAUGCCUGCCAGCACGAGGAGCCUGUCAGCGGGAGAAGUGGAACUGGGACUGACGUCGAGUUUGAUGGAUCUGAAAACAAGGAAAAUUGUCACUUUCGUGUGAAUCUGAAUCUGUCAACCUUUGGAUUCUUCACCAUGUGUUCUCCCUGACAUUCUGGCAGAAAGCAAGUGAAAUUGCGCCAAGUCCCAGCUGUGGCUCCCUUAUAUGGAAUCCGAAACCUGUAAGUUUCCGAUGCUGGAUGAAAACAAUAUUGUUAUUGAGGCAUGAUGAAUCAUUUACUGUUAGGCCACUGUGUUAAAUCCAGGAGGUUGGAUGAAAGUGAGGAUUGUCUUUGCUCUCCUAUAAUGCUUCACAUGCUAAAUAGAAGGCCCAUACAUAAACUGAUGAGUCCUACUAAGGACAGAACAGCUGGUGUGUAGAUGACAUUAAGCCUCAGCACUUACUUGCACCAUGCUAUGAAUGCCUGUUAUAGUAAAUAAAAAAAGUAGAAAUGCAGAAUUGUUUAACUUUGCCAUGAAACGGAAAACUAUUUAAAUUUACACAGUGUAAUAACUCUACAAAGUCUGCCUCAAGUCAGACAUGUGCAGUCGGAGCAUGCAUGACUCGGGGCAGACUAGUAACCUUGCCUACCCCCCCAUCUCCCCCAUCCAUUUACUAACAGCUCCCAUUGUGAGGAGAUGAGAGAAGAUGACCACAGGUAAAAGGAAGUGUAAGUGAAAGAUGGACCCCUAAACAGGGUUUUAUGCCAGGUACAGUUGGCUAGUACUAGGGAGGCCAAUCCCGGGGCAUUUUUCAAUCCCGGGAUUCGGGAUUGAAAAAUGUUCAAUCCAGGGAUUCCCGGGAUUGCAGUAGGGAUCAGUGUAGGGAGCAGAGAGAGUAAAU
Pseudophryne corroboree (corroboree frog) is the source of this 1001-nucleotide long non-coding RNA. RefSeq lists it as uncharacterized. The transcript is spliced from 4 exons. NCBI's taxonomy places the organism in Eukaryota, Metazoa, Chordata, Amphibia, Anura, Myobatrachidae. The record is from RefSeq and is a predicted model, not a curated record.